CCGGGCCUCGAACUCAGAAAUCUGCAUUCCCAAGUGCUGGGAUUAAAGGCGUGCACCACCACUGCCCGGCGGACCCUAAGUUUCUAAGGAUAAACCAAGGACGGAAUGCCAAUAGUCAACUGGACCUGCUGAGACGAUCCUUGGCCAGCAACUCAGCAGUCGGAGAUGGCAGUUGUCUGACUUAGAAGGCAGUUGUGUUUGUGAGAGCGUAGUAGGAUAAAAAGUGUCCCCAUAGACUCAUGGUGAAGGCUUUCUCUGCAGCUGGUGAUCGUCCUCAAUUUAAGCACGUUGUGAUGGUUUGUAUAUCACUGGACCAGGGAGUGGCACCAUCUGAAGGUGUG
Molecule: long non-coding RNA, 341 nt
Organism: Mus caroli (Ryukyu mouse)
Lineage: Eukaryota; Metazoa; Chordata; Mammalia; Rodentia; Muridae
Source: RefSeq, a predicted model, not a curated record